UUUUUUUUUUUUUUUUUUAUUUAAGUACCCUAGGUUUGUUUGGAGACUGGGAACUGUGGAAGUAGACAGGAAACUUUUAAAUUUUUGUUUUUUUUAAAUGCUCAAGUGGUUUGUUUGGUCGCUGAGAGACUGUGGAAAUAGACAGGAAACCUAAUAUUGAAAGCAAUCUGUUUGAUUGUUGAGGAGAUUGGAACAGGAAAGAAAAUGUGGUUGAACUAAGGUGCUCUUUUUCCCUUCCCUUCCUUUUCCUAGCUGAUUUUGUGAAUGAUGCAGAUAAAACCAUUUUGGUAGUGUAGUUGAUAUUUUUUUUUCUUUUAUUCAUAUACUGGAAUUGGAAACAUAGACAUGGACAGGACAUCAUGAUUUUUUGGCUUGUUUAUUGUUUAUUUUAUUUUAUUUUGGCUGUUGAAUCUAUUCCUGCCAAUUAUAAAUGAUGGGUUAAGAUUUUGAGGUACUGAAUUGGUUGGUUCUUUUAUUAGGUUUCUGCAGCAAUUGGGUUUG
This 501-nucleotide unclassified non-coding RNA is filed under the name Hevea brasiliensis (rubber tree). Lineage: Eukaryota; Viridiplantae; Streptophyta; Magnoliopsida; Malpighiales; Euphorbiaceae. The record is from RNAcentral.